UUAUUGUCUGAGGACAAAGCUUUUUUGGGACCCUGAAUAUUCUUUUCUGAGUUUCAUUCUUAGGUUGGUUGUGUCCUUGGACUGUCCUUAAAUGAGCAUGCUAAGAAAAACAUCAGUAGUCAGCAGUUCAUUGGAAGCAAUAUCUGAAAUCUAAGACUAGUGAAUAUCUGUCCCUGGGAAUAAGGAGAAAUCAAAGAAGACCCUCAGCAUAUUAGUGAGCUCCAUGAUGAAUUUAUGAGAAGACGUGAAUGAGUAUGACAGGACAGGCAAACAUAGAUUGACUGCAACAUAUUUCAUUGAAGGAAGCACCCACACUGAUAAAAUUGUGAAUCCGUUUGGGAAUAUGUGAAUCCUAAGCAUCCAUACCAGUACCUUGCAUAUAGACCUGUGAUAUCUCAAAAGAUCAGAAGUCCAGUUUGCCAGCAAGCCAAUCUGGGUGAGGUGCCUAAAGGGAGACCUGAGAUAUCUACGCCAGCAGUGACUCCACUAUGUGCCUUGCAGCAGGGGAACAAUUCAUCCAUCAAAUGACUAUGCCACAUUUGGAAGUGAAUUUAAUGGGACAAAUGUUUUUCAGCAAACAUUUUAAUUUGAACCCAUUAUCUCCAGGGACAGAGCUAUUACAAAUUUUAGGGGUGUUUCUGCUAUGUAACUUCUGUUAUUGUCAUCCUUUUUUUUUUUUUUUGGUGAGGCAGUUGGGGGUUAAGUGAU
This is a non-coding RNA of Phascolarctos cinereus (koala), 708 nucleotides long. The record is from RefSeq and is a predicted model, not a curated record. Lineage: Eukaryota; Metazoa; Chordata; Mammalia; Diprotodontia; Phascolarctidae.